Long non-coding RNA from Homo sapiens (human), 2036 nucleotides. Ensembl annotates it as GALNT7 divergent transcript. Its record names the gene GALNT7-DT. The record is from Ensembl. Lineage: Eukaryota; Metazoa; Chordata; Mammalia; Primates; Hominidae.
AGGGGGACCGGCGGUCCGGGCGAGGCCUCGGCCGCGCAUCGCACCCCGGCUCCCCGCCGCCGGAGUUGAGGGGGAGGCGCGCUCUCCGUAAGAGCCGGAGGCGGGGCGCCAUCGCCCUCCCACUCCCCGGCGGGCGGGCCGGGGGAGCCCGGGGCUGCGAACACCCCCAGACGGGCGGCUGCGGGAGGGGAGGCUGGACCAAGGGGCCUGGUCCACCGGACCAGCGGUGGCGGCAUCGGCAUCUCGCCUCCUUCAGGCCUGCACGCGCCACAGGCCGCAGCCUGGACCAACCCCGCGUCCCCGGGCCGUGAGCGCUGCGGUCCCGGCCCCCCAGAGCGGGACGCCGGGCGGCCGCAGCCCCCCGGACCCGGCUCUCCGCCCGCUCCGCCCGCAGUCCCGGCGCGGAGAGCGGCCGCCCGAGCCGCUGCCGCGGCAGCGCGGGUGUCGGCGACGGAGCCCGGGGCGGGGAAGAGCGGAGGAAGGGGCGGCGAGGGGGCGGGCCGGCGGCGGCCAGGGAGGUCGGAGUGCGCGGGGCUCGGCACCCCCUCGGCCCGCGCUGCGCCAGCACCACCUGCGGAGCUGCGGUGCCCACGCCGUGCCGCGACCCCGCCGCCCCUGCUCCCUCCACACGCGGGCAAACAAAACAAGUUGCCGGUCGCUGCCGCCGGAGGGGGCCGGGCGGGUCACUCACCCUCAUCCUGCUCAGCGGGCUUGGGUCGUCCGGCCGCGGGGUCAGGGAAGACCAGAGGACCACUAGCCCCAGGAAGCUUCCCACCACCAGCAAACUGCGUGGUGAAUUUGUAACCGAAAGGCCCAGGUGAGAUGUGCAAAUAUCACUGGAUUGGAGGAGCUCACUUGGAAAGCCAGUAUUCCUCCUGAGCUAAUGAAAAGAAAGGCUGUCGUCUUAUGCCAAAAGCAAUACCAACCUUGUUCACGGGCUGAGAUCUAGAGUGUGUAAUUCACGAAGUAUGAAUCUGCUGGGUAAUGUGAUAUGAAAAGCGAAUGCACCAUUUCUUGGUGAUGAUUCAGGUCAGCGUUGGGACCCAGGAAUCUCCUGUUAAUCAGUACCCUGGUGAUUUUGAUCCAGAGACGGGGUCUAUUAUCUGGUCCUGUUGUCAAGGCUGGUCUCAAACUCCUGGCCUCCAGCGAUCCUCCCUUUUUGGCCUCCCAAGAUGCUGGUAUUACAGGCAUGAGCCACCAUGGUCCACCCGGACUCCUUUUCAUAGGAGACAGUUCCCUAGGCAGAGACUGGGCUUGAAACAGUUCCUCUAAAGAAGAGGGUAGAGACUAGAACUGAAUGAGAUGGACAUAGAGAUGGCCAAGAAAAGCAUCGUCCUCUGCCAAGUCAUGGGGUCAUGUGUGGUGGAUGGUGACAUGGUGUCCUCAGCUCAGAGUCCAGCUGGGGGCUCAGAAGCAAGAUAAAAAUGUGUAUGAAGGUGGAGCCUUGUCUAUCUAGUUCGUUAUUGUUAUCCGUGUCUGAUUGUUCAUGUUGGAAGGCAUACUUUCUGAACUCUUCUCAAGUGAUGAUAAAAUGGACUAGUUGAUAAAUCUUUCUGGUACAGGUUUUCAAAACUUCCAUCUAUCCACUGUGCUUUCAUGUUAAAGAAAGAAUGGAAACAUCAUCUCUAAAACAAGAUAAACAGCUCUGGGGCUGAGGAGGCCAGCCUGCUACUGGGUAGUUUUGAUAUCAGAAGUAUUUCAAAACCUCUCCCUUGUGGAGGAUGAGUUAUAUACCCACCCUGGGGCAUCAACAUGAAGCUGCUGCCCAGUGUGCCAUUGACGGAACGCUGCAGGUCGGACAGGCCGCUCCUGCUAAAGUGUAACUUAAGUUAUUCUCACAGAAGUACCAUCCCACAGAACCCACCCGGGGGACUGUGGUUCUACACUGACUCAGUGAUCAGAGUGGGGACAUUUUCUUAUCCUUCCAGAGACUGACAAGAGAGGGGACCUGAAGGUACCUUGAUCUCACAGCUGCAUCCUGAUACAUAUAUUUUUAAUACUGUGAUGGGAAUAAAUUACUCUGAGGCUCCCAAUAA